Molecule: ribosomal RNA, 189 nt
Filed under: uncultured Bacteroidales bacterium
Lineage: Bacteria; Pseudomonadati; Bacteroidota; Bacteroidia; Bacteroidales
Description: partial 16S ribosomal RNA
Rfam family: Bacterial small subunit ribosomal RNA
Source: RNAcentral
AACCUGCCGAAAGGCAGACUAAUACCGCAUAGUCUUCGAUGACGGCAUCAGAUUUGAAGUAAAGAUUUAUCGGUAAUGGAUGGGGAUGCGUCUGAUUAGCUUGUUGGCGGGGUAACGGCCCACCAAGGCUACGAUCAGUAGGGGUUCUGAGAGGAAGGUCCCCCACAUUGGAACUGAGACACGGUCCAA